CAUGCCAAGUCGAGCGGAACGAUGGUAGCUUGCUACCAGGCGUCGAGCGGCGGACGGGUGAGUAAUACUUAGGAAUCUACCUAGUAGUGGGGGAUAGCUCGGGGAAACUCGAAUUAAUACCGCAUACGACCUACGGGAGAAAGGGGGCAACUUGUUGCUCUCGCUAUUAGAUGAGCCUAAGUCGGAUUAGCUAGAUGGUGGGGUAAAGGCCUACCAUGGCGACGAUCUGUAGCUGGUCUGAGAGGAUGAUCAGCCACACCGGGACUGAGACACGGCCCGGACUCCUACGGGAGGCAGCAGUGGGGAAUAUUGGACAAUGGGGGCAACCCUGAUCCAGCCAUGCCGCGUGUGUGAAGAAGGCCUUUUGGUUGUAAAGCACUUUAAGCAGUGAAGAAGACUCUAUGGUUAAUACCCAUAGACGAUGACAUUAGCUGCAGAAUAAGCACCGGCUAACUCUGUGCCAGCAGCCGCGGUAAUACAGAGGGUGCAAGCGUUAAUCGGAAUUACUGGGCGUAAAGCGAGCGUAGGUGGCUUGAUAAGUCAGAUGUGAAAUCCCCGGGCUUAACCUGGGAACUGCAUCUGAUACUGUUAGGCUAGAAUAGGUGAGAGGAAGGUAGAAUUCCCCGUGGAGCGGUGAAAUGCGUAGAGAUCUGCAGGAAUGCCGAGGGCGAAGG
RNAcentral lists this ribosomal RNA (674 nucleotides) under Psychrobacter maritimus. RNAcentral's name for it is "bacterial SSU rRNA". It matches the Rfam family "Bacterial small subunit ribosomal RNA", at positions 54 to 721 of the family's 1533-position model. Lineage: Bacteria; Pseudomonadati; Pseudomonadota; Gammaproteobacteria; Moraxellales; Moraxellaceae. The record is from RNAcentral.